CGGCGCUCCGCCGCGCUCGCCUGCAGAUUGUCGGUGCAGCGCGCACCAGACGGCUGCGCGGGACAGUGCCCACGCUCCCCGUCCGGUGGGCGGCUCAAGGCACACCAGUGACACCUUCCAGAGAGAUGCUGUUUAACCUCCAACCUGCAAAUAUUUUAUACCCCCAGGUGGGAUCCGGGGUAAGGGCAGCAAAACCGGCUUAAACAUCUGCAGCGCAGGUUGGACGGCGAAGUGGAGAAAGAAGAAAGGGAAGGAGACGUGGAGAACAGAAAGAACUUUAAAUUUCCCUGAGCAGCUAUUAUGAAGACACUAUCCAUCAAUUUCUAAUUUAACCUUUUAUUUUUAAAAAGGAAUAUUUUCUCAGAUGUCUUUUUCCCUGUCAAUGGAGAUUAUUGUACAACUUUUGUUCUUAAUGUAUUAAUAGGUGAAUUAUAUUAAAAAACAAUGGCCUCUA
Non-coding RNA from Microcebus murinus (gray mouse lemur), 454 nucleotides. The record is from RefSeq and is a predicted model, not a curated record. NCBI's taxonomy places the organism in Eukaryota, Metazoa, Chordata, Mammalia, Primates, Cheirogaleidae.